AUUUUUUUUCAUUUCACAGAAUAUACCAUAUGAUUUCCUCUUCUAUAUAAUUAAAGAAAGUAAUUAGAAAAUUUUCUAUCCAAUCAAAUAAAGUUAGAGAAACUGAUUCAAAAUGGAAAACUUCCUUGAAUUUGAGGUGGACAUACAUAGUGAGAGUGAAGUGAUGGUAGCUUUGGUAAAAGUUGAUAACGAAAAAUAAACGACAAGCACUAGAGUCAGUUAGAUGCAAUAGACACCAACAUAGUUAAGAGAAUCCAAUAAACAAUUGAAAUAUUUGGAUAACAAUUUAUGAUUUUGACAAACUCAAGAAUUUCAUAUGCCGACAUCAACACAUUUGAUAAAGAGAUUUGCAGCAUUUUCAUUUAUGAAAAAGAUCAUUUGCAUCAACAUCCGACAAAUCCUUAUGAGAAAACUAAACAUCAAAGUCUGUAUAAGGUCAGUCUUCUUCUUCGUAUGUCUCAAAUACGACUCUGACGUUGCCAUCUCUGUUAACGACGUUGGUUGCCGGUCCUUUAACGGUAGGCGAGUACAUAUUUCGGUAAUCAAUUUUUAUUCACUCAACUUCUCUCCUUUCAUUCGUUUUGAACAAAGAAUGUAAACACAUAGGGCCAACAAAUAGUGUUAGAUUAGGAGCUUGUUCACAUCUAAGGUAAAAACUUUAAUCACAAGGGAUAUUCUAAUCAUUAAUACUAGGUUCCACCAAUUAAUAAAUGUGCAUGUGUAGUUUAACAUUUAAGCCUAGUGUCAGUGUUAAGAGGUAUAUAUAUAGGUGGAAUGUAGUAGCAAGUUGCUGGUGUACAAUACUAUAAUGCAGUAGUACUUACUGGUUGUUUGGUAGAUAGAUACUUUAAAGAGUUUGCUUAGCCCACUGGGUGGUUGUUGUUGAUAGUUGGUGAGCUGCGGUAGAAUAUUGUUUGUUGUUAGUUAGUUAUACAGAAAAAAUGUUACAUAAUUUUUGCACAGAUCCGAAUCUUAUCUUAAAUGUAUAUACGUGGUUUUUAUUUUCUGAGUUUGUAUUUAGACCAUCUAAACAGUUCUUUGCAAUUUAAGAUCCCACACCUAAUUUAUUGGGAUUUUUUUUAGGUAUCUUAAAAUCCAGUCUCACUUAAAACCUCUAUUUUUAAG
This is a long non-coding RNA of Medicago truncatula (barrel medic), 1125 nucleotides long. RefSeq lists it as uncharacterized. The transcript is spliced from 4 exons. NCBI's taxonomy places the organism in Eukaryota, Viridiplantae, Streptophyta, Magnoliopsida, Fabales, Fabaceae. The record is from RefSeq and is a predicted model, not a curated record.